Non-coding RNA from Peromyscus maniculatus bairdii (prairie deer mouse), 2456 nucleotides. NCBI's taxonomy places the organism in Eukaryota, Metazoa, Chordata, Mammalia, Rodentia, Cricetidae. The record is from RefSeq and is a predicted model, not a curated record.
GGGCGCUGCGGCGGUAGGAGGAGGACGGGGAAGGACGGAGCUCGGCCGCGGCUGCCUCCCUCGCUCACUCCCUCGCGCGCGCGCUCGCCCGCCCCCUCCCUCCCUCCCCUCCCUUCCCCGGCCCCGGCCCCGGCCCAUUCGCUGCGCGCUCUCCGGCUCGGGAGGAUGUCGGGCUCUUCGCUCCCCAGCGCCCUGGCCCUCUCGCUCUUGCUGGUCUCUGGCUCGCUCCUCCCAGGGCCAGGCGCUGCUCAGAACGCUGGGUUUGUCAAGUCGCCCAUGUCAGAAACUAAGCUCACGGGGGACGCCUUUGAGCUGUACUGUGACGUGGUCGGGAGCCCCACGCCAGAGAUCCAGUGGUGGUACGCAGAAGUCAACCGGGCAGAGUCUUUCAGACAGCUGUGGGACGGUGCUCGGAAGCGCCGUGUCACCGUAAACACCGCCUACGGGUCAAACGGCGUGAGUGUGCUGAGAAUAACCCGGCUCACCUUGGAGGACUCUGGGACUUACGAGUGCAGGGCCAGCAACGACCCCAAGAGGAAUGACUUGAGGCAAAACCCUUCCAUAACAUGGAUUCGAGCCCAGGCCACCAUAAGCGUCCUUCAGAAGCCAAGAAUUGUCACCAGUGAAGAGGUCAUUAUUCGAGACAGCCUCCUUCCUGUUACCCUACAGUGUAACCUCACCUCCAGCUCUCACACCCUUAUGCACAGCUACUGGACAAAGAAUGGGGUAGAACUCACUGCCUCUCGUAAGAAUGCCAGCAACAUGGAAUACAGGAUCAAUAAGCCAAGAGCUGAGGAUUCAGGCGAAUACCACUGUGUAUAUCACUUUGUCAGCGCUCCUAAAGCAAAUGCCACCAUUGAAGUGAAAGCUGCUCCUGAUAUCACUGGCCAUAAACGGAGUGAAAACAAAAAUGAAGGGCAGGAUGCCAUGAUGUACUGCAAGUCAGUUGGCUACCCCCACCCAGAAUGGAUAUGGCGCAAGAAGGAAAAUGGUAUAUUCCAGGACAUUUCCAAUAACUCUGGUCGCUUCUUCAUCAUCAACAAGGAGAAUUACACUGAAUUGAAUAUUAUGAAUCUCCAGAUCACAGAAGAUCCCGGCGAGUAUGAAUGUAAUGCUACCAACUCCAUUGGCACUGCCUCCGUUUCCACCGUCCUCAGGGUACGGAGCCACCUUGCCCCACUUUGGCCUUUCUUGGGAAUUCUGGCUGAAAUCAUCAUCCUUGUGGUGAUCAUUGUUGUGUAUGAGAAGAGGAAGAGGCCAGAUGAGGUUCCUGAUGAUCAUCAGGCAGAUUGAGCUUGAGGAGAAUCCAAGUCAAGCCUAGAAGCCACCCCAAGAUCACAGGCCACCUGUCCUUUCAGAUGAUGAACCAGCCGGGCCAAUGAAAACCAACUCUACCAACAAUCACAAAGAUAAAAACUUGCGCCAGAGAAACACAAAUUAAGUACUGCUUAUAAUCUCUUUAGGUUCCUGAAAACGGUGGCAUCAUGACCUGCUACAUUUUCUGCUUGGACCUCUUUGGUCUCUCCCUUCAAGUGAGCAACACCACAAUGACCGUCUAAAGCAUGCCUUAUUUAGCCUCUCCUAUAAGGGUGACCUAGCCAGGUACAUUUUAAACAAUGCUUCAGUGUAGAAGGUGUAAACUAUUUUGGGCUUGAUGUGCUGUGAAUGUUGCUUCCCCUCCCUUUGGUAAAAUAUUUAAAUAGAAGUGAAAAGGUCCUCUAAGGAUCAGAUCAUGCAUGCGCCAUUUUUUACUUAUGCAGCUGUUAAAUUGGCAAAGCUCUAAAUGCACUGCUGCCAUCUAGUGAUCAUUUUGUAAAGUACAGCAAAACCUACAGAUAUAUACAGUAUAUAAAUAUAUAUAUAUAUUUAUAUUUUUGGGGGUGGGAGAAAUCCAAAAUAAACUAAACGCUUGUUUCAUUUUUAAGCUGCUGAUACUCAUUCCUUAUUGUCUGUUGUCAGAUGAGGAAGCUGCAGUUCUGGUACAUGAGAGUGUAAACUUAAGUCUCAUUCUAAGGGCUUACCCUAUAAAUUUUAAGAACCUGGAACAGUCCACUGAACAGCUGUAAUGAAUUGCAGUAUAUAUGUAUGAUUGCUUUUUAAGUGACUUUUCCUUUUGUCAAAUCAUGUAAAUUCUGAAAUCUUUUGCACUGAUGUGUUGAACCUUAUUCUUGUAUAUUCGAUCAAGGCAACUUUUAUAAUUUCCCUUUUGUUUUCAAUGACCCUGAAAUGUUAAGAGCAUGGUGAUACUCUAUGCAACUCUAGUUACACUUUUUGGUUUGACACUGUAUUUUUCACAUCGAUUUAAUGAUUGAUGAUAGAUUUUAUAACCUGACUGGGUUCUCAUUCGGUACUAACUGUAGAUGCAUGUACUUGUGUUCUGUGUAAUUAUUGAAGUGCAAUGGUGUACAAAAAAAUGAAUUCACCUGUUUUUAACAAUAAAACAUUGAUAAAAGGUG